CGCAACCCUCGCUGUGUGUUACAAGUGUCACACGGAACUGCCGGUCAUAAACCGGAGGAAGUGGGGAUGACGUCAAGUCAGCAUGGCCUUUAUAUCCUGGGCUACACACACGCUACAAUGGGAAGGGACAAUAGGUUGCGAAGCCGCGAGGCGGAGCCAAUCCAGCAAAACUUCCCUCAGUUCAGAUUGCAGGCUGCAACUCGCCUGCAUGAAGUUGGAGUUGCUAGUAAACGCAGGUCAGCCAUACUGCGUUGAAUACGUUCCCGGGGCUU
This 272-nucleotide ribosomal RNA is filed under the name uncultured Anaerolineaceae bacterium. Its description in RNAcentral is "partial 16S ribosomal RNA". It matches the Rfam family "Bacterial small subunit ribosomal RNA", at positions 1097 to 1382 of the family's 1533-position model. The record is from RNAcentral. Lineage: Bacteria; Bacillati; Chloroflexota; Anaerolineae; Anaerolineales; Anaerolineaceae.